RNAcentral lists this ribosomal RNA (253 nucleotides) under uncultured bacterium. Its description in RNAcentral is "partial 16S ribosomal RNA". It matches the Rfam family "Bacterial small subunit ribosomal RNA", at positions 524 to 776 of the family's 1533-position model. The record is from RNAcentral.
UACGUAGGGGGCUAGCGUUGUCCGGAAUCAUUGGGCGUAAAGCGCGUGUAGGCGGUCCGGUAAGUCCGCUGUGAAAGUCGGGGGCUCAACCCUCGAAUGCCGGUGGAUACUGUCGGGCUAGAGUGCGGAAGAGGCGAGUGGAAUUCCUGGUGUAGCGGUGAAAUGCGCAGAUAUCGGGAGGAACACCAAUGGCGAAGGCAGCUCGCUGGGACGGUACUGACGCUGAGGCGCGAAAGCGUGGGGAGCAAACAGG